RNAcentral lists this ribosomal RNA (492 nucleotides) under uncultured bacterium. Its description in RNAcentral is "partial 16S ribosomal RNA". It matches the Rfam family "Bacterial small subunit ribosomal RNA", at positions 29 to 507 of the family's 1533-position model. The record is from RNAcentral.
AGUGAACGCUGGCGGUAGGCCUAACACAUGCAAGUCGAACGGCAGCACAGUAAGAGCUUGCUCUUACGGGUGGCGAGUGGCGGACGGGUGAGGAAUACAUCGGAAUCUACUUUUUCGUGGGGGAUAACGUAGGGAAACUUACGCUAAUACAGCAUACGACCUACGGGUGAAAGCAGGGGAUCUUCGGACCUUGCGCGAUUGAAUGAGCCGAUGUCGGAUUAGCUAGUUGGCGGGGUAAAGGCCCACCAAGGCGACGAUCCGUAGCUGGGCUGAGAGGAUGAUCAGCCACACUGGAACUGAGACACGGUCCAGACUCCUACGGGAGGCAGCAGUGGGGAAUAUUGGACAAUGGGCGCAAGCCUGAUCCAGCCAUACCGCGUGGGUGAAGAAGGCCUUCGGGUUGUAAAGCCCUUUUGUUGGGAAAGAAAAGCAGCAGGUUAAUACCCCGCUGUUCUGACGGUACCCAAAGAAUAAGCACCGGCUAACUUCGUG